Molecule: ribosomal RNA, 468 nt
Filed under: uncultured bacterium
Lineage: Bacteria
Description: partial 16S ribosomal RNA
Rfam family: Bacterial small subunit ribosomal RNA
Source: RNAcentral
GACGAACGCUGGCGGCGUGCCUAACACAUGCAAGUCGAACGGAAAGGCCCUGCUUUUGUGGGGUGCUCGAGUGGCGAACGGGUGAGUAACACGUGAGUAACCUGCCCUUGACUUUGGGAUAACUUCAGGAAACUGGGGCUAAUACCGGAUAGGAGCUCCUGCUGCAUGGUGGGGGUUGGAAAGUUUCGGCGGUUGGGGAUGGACUCGCGGCUUAUCAGCUUGUUGGUGGGGUAGUGGCUUACCAAGGCUUUGACGGGUAGCCGGCCUGAGAGGGUGACCGGGCACAAUGGGCCUGAGGUACGGCCCAGGCUCCUACGGGAGGCAGCAGUGGGGAAUAUUGCACAAUGGGCGGAAGCCUGAUGCAGCAACGCCGCGUGCGGGAUGACGGCCUUCGGGUUGUAAACCGCUUUCGCCUGUGACGAAGCGUGAGUGACGGUAAUGGGUAAAGAAGCACCGGCUAACUACGUG